RNAcentral lists this ribosomal RNA (623 nucleotides) under Boletellus sp. TAA195080. RNAcentral describes it as "eukaryotic LSU rRNA". It matches the Rfam family "Eukaryotic large subunit ribosomal RNA", at positions 1 to 617 of the family's 3401-position model. Lineage: Eukaryota; Fungi; Basidiomycota; Agaricomycetes; Boletales; Boletaceae. The record is from RNAcentral.
UUGACCUCAAAUCAGGCAGGACUACCCGCCGAACUUAAGCAUAUCAAUAAGCGGAGGAAAAGAAACUAACAAGGAUUCCCCUAGUAACUGCGAGUGAAGCGGGAAAAGCUCAAAUUUCGAAUCUGGCGGUCGUGCAGGCCGUCCGAGUUGUAAUCUAGAGAAGCGUCUUCCGCGCUGGCCCGUGUACAAGUCUCCUGGAAGGGAGCGUCAUAGAGGGUGAGAAUCCCGUCUUUGACACGGACCACCAGCGCCAUGUGAUGCGCUCUCGACGAGUCGAGUUGUUUGGGAAUGCAGCUCAAAACGGGUGGUAAAUUCCAUCUAAAGCUAAAUACGGGCGAGAGACCGAUAGCGAACAAGUACCGUGAGGGAAAGAUGAAAAGAACUUUGGAAAGAGAGUUAAACAGUACGUGAAAUUGCUGAAAGGGAAACGCUUCGCGUCAGUCGCGUCGGCCAGGGAUCAACCUCGCGAGCGAUCGCUGGGUGCACUUCCUGUCUGACGGGUCAGCAUCAGUUUCUGGAGUCGUACAAGGGCGAGGGGAACGUGGCACUCUCUGGAGUGUGUUAUAGCCUCUCGUCGCAUGCGUCCUCGGGGACUGAGGAUCUCGGCACGACCUUCGGGCCCG